Molecule: ribosomal RNA, 406 nt
Filed under: uncultured bacterium
Lineage: Bacteria
Description: partial 16S ribosomal RNA
Rfam family: Bacterial small subunit ribosomal RNA
Source: RNAcentral
AUUGAACGCUGGCGGCAGGCCUAACACAUGCAAGUCGAACGAGUGGCGGACGGGUGAGUAAUGUCUGGGAACCUGCCCGAUGGCGGGGGAUAACUACUGGAAACGGUAGCUAAUACCGCAUACCAUCGGAUGUGCCCAGAUGGGAUUAGCUAGUGGGUGGGGUAAAGGCUCACCAAGGCGACGAUCCCUAGCUGGUCGGAGAGGACGACCAGCCACACUGGGACUGAGACACGGUCCAGACUCCUACGGGAGGCAGCAGUGGUGAAUAUUGCACAAUGGGCGAAAGCCUGAUGCAGCCAUGCCGCGUGUAUGAAGAAGGCCUUCGGGUUGUAAAGUACUUUUGGCGGGGAGGUGUUACCUGCAGAAGAAGCACCGGCUAACUCCGUGCCAGCAGCCGCGGUAAUUC